UACGGAGGGUGCAAGCGUUAAUCGGAAUUACUGGGCGUAAAGCGCGCGUAGGCGGCUUGUUAAGCCAGAUGUGAAAGCCCCCGGGCUUAACCUGGGAAUGCAUUUGGAACUGGCAGGCUAGAGUACAGAAGAGGGUGGUAGAAUUUCCUGUGUAGCGGUGAAAUGCGUAGAUAUAGGAAGGAAUACCAGUGGCGAAGGCGGCCACCUGGUCUGAUACUGACGCUGAGGUGCGAAAGCGUGGGGAGCAAACAGGAUUAGAUACCCGCGUAGUCC
This 273-nucleotide ribosomal RNA is filed under the name uncultured bacterium. RNAcentral's name for it is "partial 16S ribosomal RNA". It matches the Rfam family "Bacterial small subunit ribosomal RNA", at positions 524 to 796 of the family's 1533-position model. The record is from RNAcentral.